CACCUCACUAGAGCAGAAAGCAGGAGGGAGAAAGAAAGAAAAUCACAGCCAUACAUUCUGCGCUUCCCCCAGCUGAGCUGUAUCUGCAGUCGAACGGUGGGGGAAAAAAACCCCAAAAGAAACAGCAACUUUAUGGAGACGUGCUCCUCCCGCAAACCUGCCAGCCUCAUCUGUCAGCCAUUAGUUAAUCAGGGCUGGUGACUGGAAAAACUGGAGAGAGAACGGGCGAGGCCCCUGGGACUGGAGGACAGCUUCAAUCUCCGAGAGCGCAACGAGGGCAAGGACUCUGGGACCUGAAGAUCCACAGCUGGCUCUACAGAAAUGGUAGCUGGAAAACCCCAAGUGAACCCCACCCACUGCAUAACUCACAACAGGUAAGCUCAGCUGACAGAUUCUAUCUGACAAACAUCUAGGCUGUACCUUCGUCUGCGCAGAACCUCACAGAUAUUCCAACAGAUUGAGAAAAGAACGAGGACUAAGCCUUUUUAAAGACUUCCUUUAAAAAGGAAGUCUUUUAAAUGCACCACAGUAAGUUCUACCAAGUUACAAUGGCAACAAAACAAUGAGUUGUGAAAGUUAUUAUUGUGAAAAAAAAAACUAAGCUAAUGAGUUAGCUAGCUUCAGUAAGAGUGAGAUGUUUCACAUGAAAUUAGAGGAAGUACAGAGAGAUUUUUAUUGGCUCUGUUUCAUUCAAUGUGCAGAGACAUGCCUGAAAUUCAUUUAGUCUGCAAGAGAGUGAGCGAGAGCAAGACAUCGAUGCAUGACAGAACAGCUAAACAGAGAAUAGCAGAGUAACCCUAUCCUCCCUUUUUGAGUUUUUAACCUAUGCAGAAUCAGGAAAUGUUGUCAGCAUUUUGGAAAUCUCAAGAGUUAAACAAGCCUCUACAUUACUAAGAUAAUACAUAAGGAAACUGCUCUUUAAGAACUCGGCUAACAGCGGAGAUUUUUUUUUUUUUUAAUGUAAAAUCCACAAUCAGUUUAUGUUUGUUUUAAGAGUAAAAGUAAAACUCGGCUUUCUUAUUAUACUAUUACACAAACCUGCCUGCAAGACAGGCUAAGGUCAAAUUCCAGGCUCCAAGCUCUCAAUACAAGAGGAUGUUAAUACCAAGCAUAUGGUAACUGUACACAGGCUCUUAAAGGGAACUCAGAGCAAGAGUAAACUUGCAAGUACAGACUGCAGGAGGGGAAGUCUGGAGGUUUGCCCAUGGCUCAAUGUUGCCAAAGUUGUUGCAUACAGUAUCUUGUAUGUGGAAUGUUACAAGUCAACUAAGACACACUAGUUUGCGUACAAAUGAGAUAGCUGGGAACAGAAUGUACUUUAACGUAGUGUCCGAUCUUUUUAAGUGUGUUCUCAGAUGCAGAGAAUACAAAUUCUGAACAAAAGAAUUUGUUCAGAACUCUUCCUGCUGUUCGUGGUUUUGUUUUGUUUUUACAGGAAGGUUUUGAAGGACCGGAGUCCAAACGACACAUGCUGUCACUGGUGGGAGCAGAGGAAUUUCAGGAGCCAUGGAUCAGUUCUGUUCUGCAGAAAAACAACCCGGAGUAACAUCAUGCUAUCUUUCACAUAGUUGUGAUGUGCAAAGUCGUUCUCCUAAUUGUGAAUGCAGAUGAUGACAUGAAAUAAUGACUUCCUGUUUCUUCUGUUUAGCAGACUGUUAACUGUAAGUACAGCAAACUUCAGACAGGUUGGUGCUAAACAGCCUAUUCUGGACUCGGUGCCUGUAAGUACAAAUCUGCCAGCUACAAAUAGACAGAACAACACAUUUUGUCCUAUCUUCUUUUCUGAAAAGAGGUAAGUAAAAGUAAAAGUAAAAGCCAGGUUUAGGAAAUCGUAUAAAAAGGUAUAGUUCGAAAGUAAUGCAGAUUUGCAUUAGUUUCCUAUAGUUUAAAAAGAUUUCAAUGAGAUACCCAAGAAAUUUGCAUGACUAGUAAUUUCUCUGGUUGUACAUGUAUGCCUUUUACACUUUACUGUACAAAACACAAAGCAGCAUAAAGAUAUUUAUGAUGCACAAUAAGCAUUUUAAAACCGCAAUUUGUUUCAAAUUGAAAAAUGAACAAAUAGGAGUUAUUCAUAUGUUAUACCAAAACAUUGUUAAAAAAAAUGCUAUUAUUUUUAGUAGCAGUAAAGGUAUUUGUAUUUUUUUCAAUAAAAAAAAAAAGUUUGUUAAAAAAGUUUGUUUUAAAUCUUGGUGUAAAAACUGUGAUAUAUUUGGUAUUUUUAUUUAAAGAUAUCACCAUUAUCGUGAGAGGAUCUUAUAUAUUCCUAUGCCUAGACAUGUUUAACUUUUUGUAAACACACAACAUAAAAUAUAGUUGCAAAAAUAUUGAUUAACCGAGGAAAUAACAAAAUGUAUGUAUGUUGCAUGUUGAAGCUAACAAAAAAUCCACAGUGAAGACCAGGUAUAAGAUUUUCCACUAAAUCUCUGACAGUGUUCCCAAGUAUUCCUCUCUUCCAGCUCAAUGUUGCAUAGCUGCAUUUCUAAUCUACAUGGCAGCCAGCCAUCUGCAGCUUUGAAUGAGGAAGUCUGAAGAGCUCUAGCAAGAAAAGGAUCUUGACCUUGAAUUUCAAGUACAAAUCUUAACAGUCAUCAAAAUCACAUUGUUUCGUUUUGGGUUUUUUUGUAAUAAUCCAACUCUUUACACCUUUGUUUUCGCCUUAAAGCCAGCACUCAUUAUUCCACAAUGUCUGCUUAAUAAUUGUAUUCUUUGUCCCUUUUUAGCCCCUGUGAGAUGAGAAAAAACACCACAUAGGUCAGUGAUUUGACAAAUAGUACCUAAAUGUAUUUUAGUCUAUUAAAAGAAUCUGAACACAUUGAAUGAGGCAAUGUUUGACACACGUCCUUGAACCAGUGGUCUGAUGAUGUUGACGACACACAAGCAGAAACUGAGAGGUAGCUGACUGGCAUGGACAACACAGCACAUAAAAGUCAAACAGUAUGGUGCAAGUAUAGUUAAACCUCUUAUGGAAAACAUGCUGACAUCUAUAGAAGAUCUUACAUGUCGUCAGUUUUAGGAUUAUUACAUCCCUGUUUGCUGACAGGAAGUUCAACACUCAAUCUAUCAUUGUCUAACCCAUUAGGAAGGAUAUCAGCUGCAUCUCAUUUUACUCCAUCAGCUUGGUGUUGAAAGGCCCAAAGAGCAUGAGGCCCCAUCAAAAUCAAGACUGUAGUCUUAUAUACGCGACACUGAGAUGAUCCAGUAUUUGUAGAUAUAACAGCUUCAGCUUCAUUACCACUCCUAAACAAAGUUUAGUUGGAAACAAAGUUUAGGAGUGUGGUAAUCAGAAUACUUGCAGUCUGUGCCCUAAUUCAUCCCUAAGGUGUUCUGUCAGUCCAACUCACCCACUCCAGACUGCGUCACACCAGUGUGUGCAGUCCCGUUGAAACGGGAAGGGACCAUCCCAAACUGUCCCCACAUAACAGUGAGUAUUAAAUGGUCAAAAACAUCUUUUAUACUGCAUCGUUAGAAGUUCUACUAGAAUUUGGGUCAAGCCCAAAUUCUUAAAAUAAAAACAACCCCUCACCAUAAUAAUUCUUCCAUCAUCGUUCACACUUGACAAUGCAGUCAGAAGAGGACUGUUCUCCACCACAUUCAGAUUCAUUCACUGGAUUACCAGGCAGGCAGACUUCAUUUGUCAGUCCAGAGAAAAUGUCUAUUGCUCUAGAGUCCAGUGGUUCCAUGGUUCAUACCACUUCAUAGGGGAACUUGGCGUUACAAGGCUUUGAUUUGAAAUUCUCAACCAUGAAAACCCAGUCCAUGUGUUUAGUACCCACCAUUCUGGAGAUAAUCUGAACAGCUCUUGGCUUCUGCACAAUGUGCAUGUUAGUCAGUGGUGUCCCUGCUUUGCUAGUUUACUUAGCUUAUCACUAAGUGGCUGUCAAAUGUUUAGUUGUGCAGAACUUUUACAAAUAGACUUAUUGUCCAUGUAGCAUCCUACCUAGCUCAUUUUGAUUUGUUGGGCCCUUGAGAAUGACCCAUUCUUGCACAAAUGUUUGGAAAAGCAUUGAGAUGCUGGAUUGUACACAUGCAGCAACAGAAGGGACUGGACAAUCUUAAUUGAUUUAGAGGGGUGACUCAGUAUUUUAGGUACAAUUGUACAAGUAUGAUGCAGAUAUAAACAAACAAUUCCAUUUGGCUUAAAAUUACAUUCCAAUAGGGUUGGAGCAAAGCAGAUGCUUUCUGCCUGUGUCAAGGCAAGGCCAUGCCCUCUGUCAUUCAGUAGACCUGGGAUACCCCAAACUAAAUGCUUCCAGACCUUAGUACCCCGUCUCUUCUCUUUUCGUCUCACUGCAUCUGCUCCUGAUCAACCUUGAAAAAACAUUUACUCUUCCGUACGAUAUAGGCUCCUCUCUUCGUCUCCUUAAUUUCUCCUAGUAGUAUGUUCAGGGAUUGACCGUUAACACAUGGAGCUAUUAAUAAAAUCUGCAGUGUCUCACACAGUGUUUUCAAAAUCCUUUGCAAAUAAAAAAUUUAAAGAGUGGUAAGCCAUCCCAAGCCAAUACUUUUUAAAAAUCAUCUUUUGCUGAAUUUACAGCUGCACAGUAACAGACAGAUGUUUUGAGGGGGGGGUUAACCAUAGUUUUUUUUGCAAGAUAGCUCUAGCUCAGUCAGAUCAGAUGGAGAGCUUACUUUCCAAGUCUUGCUGGAGAUUUUCCAUUUUGAUUUACAUGUGGACUUUGGCUGGGUCAUUCCAGCUUAUGUAUUUGAUCUAGAUAUGCAACCUCUCUUUGUUAAGAGAGGAUGUUCUGGUGGAAGGUCAGCCAAAGCCCCAGCCUUACACUGAAUUUUUAUGCAAUCUCUAAUAAGUUUCUUACCAGUGUUGGCCUGUAUUUUCUUUAAUCUUUCCAUCAAGUCUGACCAGUUUCCUUUGACCUAAUUAUCAAAAACGACCCCAAAGCAUAAUGCUGGUACUACCAUGUUUCAUCAUUUGUGAUGAAACAUGGUAUUUUGGAUAUUAUUUGUUGGAAAAAAUUAGGGAAAUUUAAACAAAUACUGUGCAUUGAAAUCUCUUUUGUGUGAAUUUGUAAAAGGCAUGUAUGUUUUCUUCUGCCUAGUGUCCUUAACGUUUACUUCCAGUCCUGACCUAAAUCAGCCUGAUGUGCAGAUACCUUGAAUCUUUAGAUCUGGUAUUCUGAUUACAUACAAAGAUGUCAGAAGUUUCUUCUUUUUUUCCCCCAAAAUACGCUAUUUCAUAUAAUGUGUCGAGACAAGCCUGUAAUUCAUUCAAACUGCAAGACAGUGAGUGAGAGCAAGACUUCAAUUGGUAACCCUGUCCUAAGUUUUUCAAUUUUUAAUCUCUGUCUGUGUGGAAACAUGCACAAUUGGGAAAUGCUGACCUGGUUUUCUGCCUCCAAGGUUUGUCAAGGUUUGCAUUAAUCUUUUGGCCAAACCACAACUUUCCUUUCGCCCAAAGGGGCCACAGCGUAAUACCGUCUCCCAAUGCAUAUUCAAGUGAAGGCUGUGACGAGAACCUUGUGCUUGUGAGGACCAGGGAGAACCUUUCAUCUACUAAUUUGGUUGCUCAAGCUCGACUGACAGGAAACGCCGGGCCCAUGAUGUCACAAACAACUGACCCCGAGGUGACAGGUUUGAGGAGUGUUCAUGCUCAUUGCUCUUAGGCUGGAGCAAGGAAUGUCGAUGCAUACAUGUGGUUUUGAUUUGAAGUUCUGUGAUUAGCUUGCAGACGCACUGCUGCCACGCCUCCGCCCCAUGCAAAGCAUAUAUUUUACAGGAAAUGGCAUGUUUUUGCUUAUAAGAAGGAAUAAAUAACUAAAGUGGUGCCUGUUAAUAUCAGUACAAUGAGCCAGAUUUUCCGUAGAUAUGACUUUUCUUAAGGUAAAUAGCAUUAGUAUGUAUUUUAUAACCAAAACUCUGACAAAUUAAUAAAAAAUGUGUUUGCUUUUUGUGAAAUGUCUGCAAUAAAUCUGAUUAUUCCUUGG
Long non-coding RNA from Xiphophorus hellerii (green swordtail), 5939 nucleotides. RefSeq lists it as uncharacterized. The transcript has 2 exons. NCBI's taxonomy places the organism in Eukaryota, Metazoa, Chordata, Actinopteri, Cyprinodontiformes, Poeciliidae. The record is from RefSeq and is a predicted model, not a curated record.